Chelonia mydas (Green sea turtle) is the source of this 1940-nucleotide long non-coding RNA. RefSeq lists it as uncharacterized. NCBI's taxonomy places the organism in Eukaryota, Metazoa, Chordata, Testudines, Cheloniidae. The transcript has 3 exons. The record is from RefSeq and is a predicted model, not a curated record.
AGCCCACCUGGGUAGCAGCAGGCAGGGCUGGUCUAAGGCCAGAAAAUGAGGCCAGAAGGGGUUGCAAUGUGGAUGCCUGCAGUCACUCACUGAGAUUAGAGAAGGAAAAAAGAGGAAACCCAGGGAGGAAGGGAGUAGAAAUCCUGGGUUCCUAGCCCUAAAGGAAGGGUUUACCCCUGGGAGGCAGGCAGGAGUGGAGAAAGAAGCCUGAUAGAAUAGGAAACAGCCAAGGGAAAUGGCAGCAGGGUUUUGGGACAGAGCAGACUUGAGCUGCUGAAAGUAGGGUCCCUGGGCUGGAAGCUGGAGUAUUGGACAGGCCCAGGUUCCCCCACCCACCCACCGGGGACGCAGCAUAGCCUUGAAUUGGAGGAGUGCCAGGAACAAUACCUGGUCAGCCAGUCCAGUGAGACUUCGAGUACGCUGGAAGGGGGAAACCACAUAGUGACCUGGCUGGAGGGCUGCAUCUCCUGACAUGUGAGAAGAGCCACAGCGUGAAUGACAGACAGAAGGGGGCGUCAGACCGAGCGAAGCUAGUCCCCAGAUGCAGCCACGAGGAGGGGCCUGAACGAGCCCCAUUGCUGGUGUGUAAUGUGAACAGGUCUUGCUGCUGCUCAUUCAAGCUCAAGCUGGAUCAGAAAUUUGUGAAGCGAAAUUUCUAGCCCGGGUCUGAAAUGUCAGCAGGGCCGCAACAAUGCUUGGAGGAGUCACCCUGCUCUGAAAUGACUGUGGGAGAGCAGCAAAAAGGAAACCACAUUUCUCCUCAUUCCAAACCAAUGCGGUGGUUUGUGAUUUGGAUCCAGAUUCAGGUUCAGUUUCCAUAUGAAAUCCUAACUCUACUGCUGUCAAUGGAAGUUUUGCUAUUGACUCAAUGAAGCCAGGAUUAUACCCCUAAACCUGAGAGGUGUGUGGAAUUGUUUAUUUUCUACAGGCCCAAUAUCUCUCUGAAUCACCUGGGGUGACUUGUUCAUCUUUUUUUUUUUUUUGGUCUAGUUCAUUUUGUUUUUUGUCUAGAUAGGGGCAAAAAACUAUUUUUACAAAUGAACUGUAAGAUGCAAACUAUAAAUUAUAAAUGAACAGUUUCAAUGAGGGUGUUCAUUGCAACGACGGAAAUCUAAUUAAGCAGCUUAAUAUCUAAGUGAUAUUAUUAUUAAAGAGUUACAUUAACUGAGCAUUUGAUCAGCCUCUUAAUUUGUUCUUUGUGGAUUGUAUUUAUGAGAUAGUAUGCUUCUGAAUGACACAAAGAUCAAUUCCUUUAUUCAGAGGGAAACAUGACAUCAUGAGUUUAAAUUGAAAUACAUUAAUAUAGAAGGCCAAUGGAAACAAAUACACUGUUCUCUCAGCCUAAUUGACUUAGUUUAAUUGACUUUAAGUAACUGUUAGUAUUGAUUGGUUUCAGGUUGUGAUGUGACAGCCACAUAAAGGGCCUAAUUUUUAAAGCAGACCAGAGAUCCAAAUGCAAAAAUGCAUAUGAAGUUCCACAUCCCAUGGUACACUCAUUUACCACGGUGCCAAGCUCAAGUCACAACUCACAUUAAACAGUUGAUUUGCAUGCAUACAUUUUGUCCCUUAAAGAUCUGGUCCAAUGUGACUUUAUGAAACAAUGGGAGCCAGAUUUUCCAAAAGUUUGGAUCUGCAUUUACAAUCCUAAUUUACAAGCACAAUUAGUGCACUUGUGUGAGCAAAUUGGCUAACUGCAUUUGCAAAUGUGGCUAACUAGGCAUUCGAGCGUGCAAUCAUGGCAACUGCAUGCUCAAUUAUGUGCCAUACACACACUGCUACUUUUUGAAAAUAUGGCAUGUGUUGGAAGAUCUUCUGCAAAGUUAUCCUUUGGGUUGUCCCAUCCCAUGAAUAUAUCUUCCCCUCCCAAUGAAUUCCUUCAAUUUUACCUGUCUCACUUCUUCUCUGACUAAUGUUAGGCAGAGCUAUGGCUAAUGGAUCAA